Molecule: ribosomal RNA, 936 nt
Filed under: uncultured bacterium
Lineage: Bacteria
Description: bacterial SSU rRNA
Rfam family: Bacterial small subunit ribosomal RNA
Source: RNAcentral
AGAGUUUGAUCCUGGCUCAGAAUGAACGCUAGCGGCGUGCUUAACACAUGCAAGUCGUACGAGAACUCUUUAGCUUGCUAAAGAUAGUAAAGUGGCGCACGGGUGAGUAACGCGUGGGUAAUUUACCUCUGAAUUUGGGAUAACUCCGCGAAAGCGGGGCUAAUACCGGAUAAUAUUUCAGGAUCUUCGGGUUUUGAAAUCAAAAGUGGCCUCUACAUGUAAGCUACUGUUUGGAGAUGAGCCCGCGUACCAUUAGCUUGUUGGUAGGGUAAUGGCCUACCAAGGCUACGAUGGUUAGCUGGUCUGAGAGGAUGAUCAGCCACACUGGAACUGACACACGGUCCAGACUCCUACGGGAGGCAGCAGUGGGGAAUUUUGCGCAAUGGGGGAAACCCUGACGCAGCAACGCCGCGUGAGUGAUGAAGGCCUUCGGGUCGUAAAGCUCUGUCAAGUGGGAAGAAUCUGGGAAAUGCUAAUACCAUUUUUCACUGACGGUACCACUGAAGGAAGCACCGGCUAACUCCGUGCCAGCAGCCGCGGUAAUACGGGGGGUGCAAGCGUUAUUCGGAAUUAUUGGGCGUAAAGGGCGCGUAGGCGGUCUUUUAAGUCAGAUGUGAAAGCCCGGGGCUUAACCCCGGAAGUGCAUUUGAAACUGAAGGACUUGAGUAUGGGAGAGGGAAGUGGAAUUCCUGGUGUAGAGGUGAAAUUCGUAGAUAUCAGGAGGAACCACCGGUGGCGAAGGCGACUUCCUGGACCAAUACUGACGCUGAGGCGCGAAGGCGUGGGGAGCAAACAGGAUUAGAUACCCUGGUAGUCCACGCAGUAAACGAUGAACACUAGGUGUAGCGGGUAUUGACCCCUGCUGUGCCGCAGUUAACGCAUUAAGUGUUCCGCCUGGGGAGUACGACCGCAAGGUUAAAACUCAAAUGAAUUGAC